UGAAGAAUGACUGAGCGUUUGAAUCUGGUAAUUGAUGGUAGGCCUACUUUCUGAAGUUGUCACUCAGUUAUUGAAAAAAAAAACACAUUAAAUUUAGUUUUCUGAAAAUCAUCAAUCUUUGAUGUGGUCCGUAAAUGAAAUUAAGUGACAUCAACCGUUCAAAUAAGAUUGAUCAAGCUUUGUAGGCCCAAGUUGUGCUGUGGGACCAGGUCUGCCAACAAUCACCCGGAGUCAUGAUGUACGCUGGGAAAUACAGAAAGUGCCUGAGUCACUCUUGAGAUCCUCUACAGCUUAUUCUCAUGGGACCCUCUCAGGGUGUCACCUGAUUUGGUGAACUUACACUUGCGCAACAUUUACACUUCCUGGAAUAUGUACGGUAGUCAACGGUUAAGAUGGUAAAACUCACUGGUGUAGCUUCAAUGUUGACCGAGGCUGGAUAAGCACUCACUCGUUGGUAAUGUGAUGGAGUUUAUAUCAGGAUUGCUGAUAAGAAUAUUUAGCUGAUAUCCACCAUCUCUUAAGUAAGCAAGAUCAAUAUAUAAAAGUAAGUCAGAUCAAUGUAUAAUGUAGUUCAAGUACAAGUAUUGCAGCACAGAUGUUGGCCUUUUGUGGGAGGCUUUAAAUAUUUCAUCCUUUUUAUGACUGAUAGAAGGGAAUUUGUAUUAUUAUUUUUCUUUAUAUAUUCAAUUCUUUUUGUGAUACCAAAUUCAAUAAAAUAGUCAUUACAAGGUUUCGAUAAGUAGUUAGAGCCAGCACAGACACUCAGUCCAUAAAUUGCUGGUUCAUUCAUAUGUCAUGUUAGCA
Molecule: long non-coding RNA, 804 nt
Organism: Anneissia japonica
Lineage: Eukaryota; Metazoa; Echinodermata; Crinoidea; Comatulida; Comatulidae
Exons: 3
Source: RefSeq, a predicted model, not a curated record